Molecule: ribosomal RNA, 442 nt
Filed under: uncultured bacterium
Lineage: Bacteria
Description: partial 16S ribosomal RNA
Rfam family: Bacterial small subunit ribosomal RNA
Source: RNAcentral
CCUACGGGUGUCAGCAGUGGGGAAUAUUGGGCAAUGGGCGCAAGCCUGACCCAGCAAUGCCGCGUGAAGGCAGAAGGCUUUCGGGUUGUACACUUCUUUGAUAGGGGAAGAGCAGAAGACGGUACCCUGAAAACAAGCCACGGCUAACUACGUGCCAGCAGCCGCGGUAAUACGGAGGUGGCAAGCGUUGUCCGGAUUUACUGGGUGUAAAGGGCGUGUAGCCGGUAAGGCAAGUCAGUUGUGAAAUCCGGAGGCUCAACCUACGAAUUGCAUUUGAAACUGUUUUUCGUGAGUACUGUUGAGGCAGACGGAAUUCCUGGUGUAGCGGUGAAAUGCGUAGAGAUAAGGAAGAACACCGGUUGCGAAGGCAGUCUGCUGGACAGCAACUGACAGUGAGGCGCGAAAGCGUGGGGAGCAAACAGGAUUAGAUACCCCUGUAGUC